UCUCUAGUGGCUCAGACAGUAGAGAAUCUGCCUGCAAUGCAGAAGACCCAGGUUCAAUCCCUGGGUUGGGAA
Molecule: transfer RNA, 72 nt
Filed under: Bos taurus (domestic cattle)
Lineage: Eukaryota; Metazoa; Chordata; Mammalia; Artiodactyla; Bovidae
Also listed under: 4 other names
Rfam family: tRNA
About the family: Transfer RNA (tRNA) molecules are approximately 80 nucleotides in length. Their secondary structure includes four short double-helical elements and three loops (D, anti-codon, and T loops).
Source: Rfam by way of RNAcentral